GUGGGAUGAAUAAAAAAAAACCCUGUAUUUACAAAGCUCGCCCUCUUUCUCUCCUUGCUGCCUUCUCUUUUUUGUUGUUUGUAUGUGUGUGUGAGUGUGUGUGUGAGUGUGUGUGAGUGUAUGAGAGAGAGAGA
Molecule: long non-coding RNA, 134 nt
Organism: Amblyraja radiata (thorny skate)
Lineage: Eukaryota; Metazoa; Chordata; Chondrichthyes; Rajiformes; Rajidae
Exons: 3
Source: RefSeq, a predicted model, not a curated record